Molecule: ribosomal RNA, 253 nt
Filed under: uncultured Helicobacteraceae bacterium
Lineage: Bacteria; Pseudomonadati; Campylobacterota; Epsilonproteobacteria; Campylobacterales; Helicobacteraceae
Description: partial 16S ribosomal RNA
Rfam family: Bacterial small subunit ribosomal RNA
Source: RNAcentral
UACGGAGGGUGCAAGCGUUACUCGGAAUCACUGGGCGUAAAGAGCGCGUAGGCGGGAUAGCAAGUCAGAUGUGAAAUCCUAUGGCUUAACCAUAGAACUGCAUUUGAAACUGUUAUUCUAGAGUAUGGGAGAGGUAGGUGGAAUUCUUGGUGUAGGGGUAAAAUCCGUAGAGAUCAAGAGGAAUACUCAUUGCGAAGGCAGCUUACCAAGCUACUUCUGACGUUGAGGCACGAAAGCGUGGGGAGCAAACAGG